GUGGGGAAUCUUGCGCAAUGGGCGAAAGCCUGACCCAGCAACGCCGCGUGAAGGAAGAAGGUCUUCGGAUCGUAAACUUCUAUCCUUGGUGAAGAUAAUGACGGUAGCCGAGAAGGAAGCCCCGGCUAACUACGUGCCAGCAGCCGCGGUAAUACGUAGGGGGCAAGCGUUGUCCGGAAUGAUUGGGCGUAAAGGGCGCGUAGGCGGCCUGGUAAGUCUGGAGUGAAAGUCCUGCUUUUAAGGUGGGAAUUGCUUUGGAUACUGUCGGGCUUGAGUGCAGGAGAGGUAAGUGGAAUUCCCGGUGUAGCGGUGAAAUGCGUAGAGAUCGGGAGGAACACCAGUGGCGAAGGCGACUUACUGGACUGUAACUGACGCUGAGGCGCGAAAGUGUGGGGAGCAAACAGGAUUAGAAACCCGUGUAGUCC
Molecule: ribosomal RNA, 425 nt
Filed under: uncultured bacterium
Lineage: Bacteria
Description: partial 16S ribosomal RNA
Rfam family: Bacterial small subunit ribosomal RNA
Source: RNAcentral